RNAcentral lists this ribosomal RNA (402 nucleotides) under uncultured bacterium. RNAcentral describes it as "bacterial SSU rRNA". It matches the Rfam family "Bacterial small subunit ribosomal RNA", at positions 11 to 429 of the family's 1533-position model. The record is from RNAcentral.
GUUUGAUCCUGGCUCAGAAUCAACGCUGGCGGCGCGCUUAACACAUGCAAGUCGCACGAGAAAGCCCGCAAGGGUGAGUAAAGUGGCGUACGGGUGAGUAACACGUGGAUCAUCUACCUUUUAGUGGGGAAUACCUCUUGGAAACGGGAGACAAUACCGCAUAAGCUCGAGAGAGGAAAGCAGCAAUGCGCUGAAAGAGGAGUCCGCGGCUGAUUAGCUAGAUGGCGGGGUAACGGCCCACCAUGGCGAAGAUCGGUAGCCGGCCUGAGAGGGCACACGGCCACACUGGCACUGAAACACGGGCCAGACUCCUACGGGAGGCAGCAGUGGGGAAUCUUGCACAAUGGGGGAAACCCUGAUGCAGCGACGCCGCGUGAGCGAUGAAGCCCUUCGGGGUGUAAA